Non-coding RNA from Xyrichtys novacula (pearly razorfish), 2263 nucleotides. Lineage: Eukaryota; Metazoa; Chordata; Actinopteri; Labriformes; Labridae. The record is from the annotation of a GenBank genome assembly.
GGGGUGAAAGUAGAAUAGGGUUAUUGCAGGUACUGUGUCCGUAGGCUUUGUACAAGAGGAAGUUUUCUCUUGUACCCACAGUGGUCAGUAAUGGACUGGCCCGAGGUCUCGCUACAAACAAGCGGCUGCUGGAAGAAAGUAGGUGAGUUGUGUUUAGUCUCUUUGCUAAAGAAAUAAGGCAAAGUUAUGUUUGGUGGAUAGUACUAUGGCUAGGACCCUAUAUUGGUGUUGAUGAAGUUAGGUGCUGUUCUGAGCAUUAUUUGUGGUUAUAGAGUGGCUUUUUGGUUGAGGUUUGUUUAUGGCUCCUCAGACCGCUGUGUAUUGCUAUCUUACGGUCGUUACUAAAGUUGGUAUAACUUGAGAAGCAAGCGGUCGGCAACAUUCAUCUCUCGAGGGGGUGUCUAAUACUGUGUCACGGUGUGUUUGGCCCUAAAUUAAAUUUACACCGGAAUAUCCCUUUAAGAUUGAAGCAGCUAUCUCUUUAAAAGUUCCUCAGCGUCUAGGCAACCAGCGUCCAAUCAAAAGUGCGCACUGUGCUCUUCGGAGUUUGUUUGUUUGCGGAAGCAAAUACGACUCAGUCGCAAGCAGCAUGGUCCCAUUGGAUUACUACGGUUACAAUGCCGAGUGCAGAUUGACGUGCGGCAACACGGUAAGCAAAUGUAGCCUACUUACACUGAAGGGGUGAAAGUUUGCGUACCGACAGUAAACUGCUGUUUAUGUCUUCCCGGUACGACGUACCGCGGCGUACCGACUUCCCUUCACAGUUUGGGGUUCCUUUCUCAGGCAAGAGUCCUUGUAUCUGAGGGUCUUGUUCACAGCAGAUUAUAGGUUAUACAUUAUCAACAGUGAACCAAAGUCCUAUCCAGUAAAGUCUCCCAGCCCCUUUGCGGGAACCAGGGGUGUUUCCGGGACAGAGGGAUGUUGGGUCAUCUCCAAGGUCUCUUGUUAGACAAACUGGAUUGGAAAUAAUUCAUUUCUGAAGUUUUCCUGCUGCCUGCUGAACAGGAGAAACUGGCUCAUUUUGGCUCCUCAGAGUUUGUCGAAGUAGACAUCACAGCAGAGUCAGGUGUGUGUGUGUGUGUGUGUGUGUGUGUGUGUGUGUGUGUGUGUGUGUGUGUGUGUGUGCCUGAUUGCUCCUGAUUGGUCACAGAUGUGGGGAGGUUACAGAUUCUGUUGUGCUCCAGGUCCAUGUGCUGACUUAUUAGCUCAUUUGCUGUGGUUGUGAGAGGGUCUCCCUCUGUGUGACGUCUGUGUUUGCUCCAUAAGAGCUUCAAGCCUUGUUGGGUGGUUCCUUCUCUGUUUUCAGUGGUUGUCUUGAAAGUGGUAGACUCAGAAAUAGGACUUUAAAGCUUCAAGCCAACUGUACACAACUUCCCACCAAUCAAAGUUAAAUAUAACAACUUAAGGGGUAUUGUCUGAUUGAGGUCAUAGUGAUAUUCCUGUGUGCCAAUGAAGGAAGUAAGUUAUUGAUAUAUGACAGUUGUGCAUCAGGAACUUUGCAGGAAAGCCAUCAUGAACAGAUUUCUUUAUUUCUUGAUGCAUUAACUUAUCAAAGUCUUUACGGACUAAUCCUGAGGAAACCAUGAAUUUAUGUGCAUGAUUGUGUCCAAAUGCAUUCAGUAGUUAUUAAAAUAUUUCACUCUGGACCAAAGUGAUGGACUGAAAUUGCAGCGCAUUGAGACGCGCUCCAUGAAAAUAUGAUAUUUAAGUUCACACUUUGCUUAAAUAAGCAGUUUCCUCCUGUUUUAGCACAGAGGACAAAAAGCUAGAGCAGUAAAUUGCCAUAAGUGGGUUGUAAUAGAAAGAGGCAGCCAAAGGUUAUGAAUACAGAUGGUUAAGUGAUUUACAUUAAACUCAGAUUUAGUGUAAUUUUCCCAGCAGCCCUCCAGCGCCCGUUCAAUGUGUGUGCAUAUGUGCAUUAACCAAAGCACAUAAAGAUCCCUGGCUUAAAACCAGAGGAGCUCAGACUCAGAUGUAGAAAGACAGGAGUGAGUUUAUCUCUCUGCAGAGACAAUGAGACCCCAGAGAGGACGGAGAGAGAGUCUGACAAGAUCACCUCUGCACGUCAGAAACAUCACAAAAGCACAAAGUCUGCAGACUAAAGCUUUAUCUGUUAGACCAGUCCAGUCUCCUCUGAGUGUGUGUGUGUGUGUGUGUGUGUGUGUGUGUGUGUGUGUGUGUGUGUGUGUGUGUGUGUGUGUGUGUGUGUAUGUGCAUGUGUGUGUGCGUGUGUGGCUCCAUGCCAGCUCCUCUGCUGGGCUCU